GACUUAGUGCUCAGGGGAUAUAAAAAUAAUGCAUUGUAUGCCGGAAGGGAUAAAUCUGGGGCUGAGUACAAGCAAAACAAGACCAAAGGAAGCUACCUGAGCAGGUAUUCCAGAUACUCAUGUCAUACACCAAGGUUGUACCAGUGCCCCUUUCUCUGUGACACAUCCAUCCACUGGAAACUUUCGUACAACUAGCUGAAAGAAGAGAAACAUCCUAUUUCAUGUCACUGGAGCCCUAAUGAUCGCAGCCAUUUCAGGAAAUGCCAUCAAUUACAGUGAGGAGCUCAUUCAGAAGUGAAAGAUGAGUUCCAUUCUCUGUUACUUAGAGCUGGAGGGAGGAUGGCAUUUCAAGAGGUGGCAAGUGGUCCUUCUUCACAGUCAUAUCUCUCAUUCUGCAAGCCAAAGACUCAAUCUGCAUAAUAUUCCAUGGUGUAUAUAUACCACAUUCUUUUCCCAGUCAUCAAUCACUGGACGCUUAAGUUGAGUAAUGGCUUUUUAUUGAGGGUAUUACAAAGCUCAAAUCUGAGAAAACCUUGUCUACCAUCAACCCUGACCUACAGAGGAGAGGCACCCCCAAGCUUAUUAGUGAUCCUGUCUCCGUCUUAUUGGCACAUCCUGAUGGCCUUGAUCUCUAGUUCUUCCUGUGGAGCAUAACCAUAUGGUUCUUUGCCAAGAUGUUAAGACCAAAGUCGGAGAGUGAACCCCAUGUCAAUGAAUUCUUGUUUUUCUGAUCUUACAUUCCAUCACUUUGAUCCAGUACUCUCAAAAUGCAAUCACAGUUGUACAUGUCUUCUCCUGUCAAUAAACGCUACCUUAGUACUGCAGUUCCUUAA
Molecule: long non-coding RNA, 833 nt
Filed under: Homo sapiens (human)
Lineage: Eukaryota; Metazoa; Chordata; Mammalia; Primates; Hominidae
Description: novel transcript
Source: RNAcentral